RNAcentral lists this ribosomal RNA (473 nucleotides) under uncultured bacterium. Its description in RNAcentral is "bacterial SSU rRNA". It matches the Rfam family "Bacterial small subunit ribosomal RNA", at positions 917 to 1382 of the family's 1533-position model. The record is from RNAcentral.
GGGCCCGCACAAGCGGUGGAGCAUGUGGUUUAAUUCGACGCUACGCGAAGAACCUUACCUGGGCUUGAACUGCUGGUGGUAGAAGCCCGAAAGGGUAACGACCCGGAGCAAUCCGGGAGCCAGUAGAGGUGCUGCAUGGCUGUCGUCAGCUCGUGUCGUGAGAUGUUGGGUUAAGUCCCGCAACGAGCGCAACCCUUACCCUUAGUUGCCAGCGGGUAAUGCCGGGCACUCUAAGGGGACCGCCCCGGAUAACGGGGAGGAAGGCGGGGAUGACGUCAAGUCAGCAUGGCCUUUAUGUCCAGGGCUACACACGUGCUACAAUGGACGGUACAGAGGGAAGCAAGGCCGCAAGGUAGAGCUAAUCCCUAAAGCCGUCCUCAGUUCGGAUUGCAGGCUGCAACUCGCCUGCAUGAAGUCGGAAUCGCUAGUAAUCGCGGAUCAGCUACGCCGCGGUGAAUACGUUCUCGGGCCUU